GGGGAUGACUGGUUUUGACAGCGAGAUCAGUUAAAAUAUAAGCAUGCCGAGCCAUGAAAUAGCACUCGUAAAAAUCGAUUUCAACUUUUUAAACGGCGAAGAUAAUUACGCUUUAGCUGCUUAAUCUGAAUCACAGUAGGAUAGAGCCUCGUUCCGCAAGGCGGAAAAGCUAAAUGUCUCUUGAAAGCCCUGGUAUACGGCGUUCUGAUUAGAGGCAUCGUAAAAGUAAACCUAGAAGGAUCAUUGUUUCGCUGGUCUUUCGAAACUAAAGAAACUAAGCUUAAAGUAGGUGGUUUUUAGUCGGCUUUAGGUCUACAAUCAAAUAAAAACUAAGCAUGUAGAAAGUAUUUUAGUUGCUUGUUUGGACGAGGGUUCGAGUCCCUCCAUCUCCACGA
Molecule: transfer-messenger RNA, 395 nt
Filed under: Flavobacteriaceae
Lineage: Bacteria; Pseudomonadati; Bacteroidota; Flavobacteriia; Flavobacteriales
Also listed under: 1 other name
Description: Lutimonas sp020347545 Standard tmRNA
Rfam family: transfer-messenger RNA
About the family: Bacterial tmRNA, also known as 10Sa RNA or SsrA, is named for its dual tRNA and mRNA-like properties. Its role is to liberate the mRNA from a stalled ribosome.
Source: RNAcentral